This 465-nucleotide ribosomal RNA is filed under the name uncultured bacterium. RNAcentral describes it as "partial 16S ribosomal RNA". It matches the Rfam family "Bacterial small subunit ribosomal RNA", at positions 28 to 507 of the family's 1533-position model. The record is from RNAcentral.
GACGAACGCUGGCGGCGUGCUUAACACAUGCAAGUCGAACGGAAAGGCCCUGCUUGCCGGGUACUCGAGUGGCGAACGGGUGAGUAACACGUGGGUGAUCUGCCCUGCACUUCGGGAUAAGCCUGGGAAACUGGGUCUAAUACCGGAUAGGAGCCAUUUUUAGUGUGAUGGUUGGAAAGUUUUUUCGGUGUAGGAUGAGCUCGCGGCCUAUCAGCUUGUUGGUGGGGUAAUGGCCUACCAAGGCGGCGACGGGUAGCCGGCCUGAGAGGGUGGACGGCCACAUUGGGACUGAGAUACGGCCCAGACUCCGACGGGAGGCAGCAGUGGGGAAUAUUGCACAAUGGGCGCAAGCCUGAUGCAGCGACGCCGCGGGGGGGAUGACGGCCUUCGGGUCGUAAACUCCUUUCGCUAGGGACGAAGCUUUUUGUGACGGUACCUAGAGAAGAAGCACCGGCUAACUACGUG